Molecule: signal recognition particle RNA, 314 nt
Filed under: Thermoplasmatota archaeon
Lineage: Archaea; Methanobacteriati; Thermoplasmatota
Description: Candidatus Thermoplasmatota archaeon signal recognition particle sRNA
Rfam family: Archaeal signal recognition particle RNA
Source: RNAcentral
GUGUGGAAUAGACUGGGGAGGUAGGCGUUCCCUGUAACCAGAAAUCGCCGAUAUGCUGGGGUCGAAACCAAGAGGCGGUGCGGCGAUCAUUUAUUGAUCCAUCUGUUGACUAUGAGACCUUGUCCUAUGGGAUUAGAGGUGAUGAUUUCAUAUGGUUGGAAGGCCAUAUGUUCAUCUUUAUUGUGGGAACCGGGUCAGGCACGGAAGUGAGCAGCCUUACCACAAACUGCUGAUGCUCAUAGGGUAAACGGGGUUGAGAAUGCAGAUGGGCAGUCAGUAGAUGAAACGUGCAUCCACUCAAGGACCUUCCAUGC